CCCUUAGAUGUUCUGGGCUGCACGCGCGCUACACUGAUGCGCUCAACAAGUUUAUGACCUUGCCCGGAAGGGUUGGGUAAUCUUCUUAGCACGCAUCGUGAUGGGGAUAGAUUAUUGCAAUUAUUAAUCUUCAACGAGGAAUUCCUAGUAAGCGCGAGUCAUCAGCUCGUGCUGAUUACGUCCCUGCCCUUUGUACACACCGCCCGUCGCUACUGCCAACUGAGAUGGGUCCUGAAUUGUUAGGAACGCCCGUCAAGGGGCCUACCCGGUCCCUAGUGCGGUGACGAGAAUAACUGUAAAUGGCAUAUCUUGUAGGGAGUAAAAGUCGUAACA
Molecule: ribosomal RNA, 333 nt
Filed under: uncultured eukaryote
Lineage: Eukaryota
Description: partial 18S ribosomal RNA
Rfam family: Eukaryotic small subunit ribosomal RNA
Source: RNAcentral